UACGUAGGGUGCAAGCGUUAAUCGGAAUUACUGGGCGUAAAGCGUGCGCAGGCGGUGAUGUAAGACCGAUGUGAAAUCCCCGGGCUUAACCUGGGAACUGCAUUGGUGACUGCAUUGCUGGAGUAUGGCAGAGGGGGGUGGAAUUCCACGUGUAGCAGUGAAAUGCGUAGAGAUGUGGAGGAACACCGAUGGCGAAGGCAGCCCCCUGGGCCAAUACUGACGCUCAUGCACGAAAGCGUGGGGAGCAAACAGG
This 253-nucleotide ribosomal RNA is filed under the name uncultured bacterium. Its description in RNAcentral is "partial 16S ribosomal RNA". It matches the Rfam family "Bacterial small subunit ribosomal RNA", at positions 524 to 776 of the family's 1533-position model. The record is from RNAcentral.